This 164-nucleotide ribosomal RNA is filed under the name Hypselodelphys sp. Harris 6670. RNAcentral describes it as "5.8S ribosomal RNA". It matches the Rfam family "5.8S ribosomal RNA". From Rfam's summary of the family: 5.8S ribosomal RNA (5.8S rRNA) is a component of the large subunit of the eukaryotic ribosome. It is transcribed by RNA polymerase I as part of the 45S precursor that also contains 18S and 28S rRNA. Functionally, it is thought that 5.8S rRNA may be involved in ribosome translocation. The record is from RNAcentral. Lineage: Eukaryota; Viridiplantae; Streptophyta; Magnoliopsida; Zingiberales; Marantaceae.
CGGAUGACUCUCGGCAACGGAUAUCUCGGCCCUCGCAUCGAUGAAGAACGUAGCGAAAUGCGAUACGUGGUGUGAAUUGCAGAAUCCCGCGAACCAUUGAGUCUUUGAACGCAAGUUGCGCCCGAGGCCUUCGGGUCGAGGGCACGCCUGCCUGGGCGUCACGC